AGCGGAUUAGAGCAGCGGUAGCUCACCAGAAUCAUAAUCUGGGGGUCAUAGGUUCGAUUCCUAUAUCCGCCA
This 72-nucleotide transfer RNA is filed under the name Treponema sp. Its description in RNAcentral is "tRNA-Met". It matches the Rfam family "tRNA". From Rfam's summary of the family: Transfer RNA (tRNA) molecules are approximately 80 nucleotides in length. Their secondary structure includes four short double-helical elements and three loops (D, anti-codon, and T loops). Further hydrogen bonds mediate the characteristic L-shaped molecular structure. tRNAs have two regions of fundamental functional importance: the anti-codon, which is responsible for specific mRNA codon recognition, and the 3' end, to which the tRNAs corresponding amino acid is attached (by aminoacyl-tRNA synthetases). tRNAs cope with the degeneracy of the genetic code in two manners: having more than one tRNA (with a specific anti-codon) for a particular amino acid; and 'wobble' base-pairing, i.e. permitting non-standard base-pairing at the 3rd anti-codon position. Lineage: Bacteria; Pseudomonadati; Spirochaetota; Spirochaetia; Treponematales; Treponemataceae. The record is from RNAcentral.